This 468-nucleotide ribosomal RNA is filed under the name uncultured bacterium. RNAcentral's name for it is "partial 16S ribosomal RNA". It matches the Rfam family "Bacterial small subunit ribosomal RNA", at positions 28 to 507 of the family's 1533-position model. The record is from RNAcentral.
GACGAACGCUGGCGGCGUGCUUAACACAUGCAAGUCGAACGGAAAGGCCCUGCUUUUGUGGGGUGCUCGAGUGGCGAACGGGUGAGUAACACGUGAGUAACACGCCCUUGUCUUUGGGAUAACUCCAGGAAACUGGGGCUAAAACACGAUAGGAGCUCCUGCUGCGUGUGGGGGGUUGGAAAAUUUCGGCGGUGGGGGAUGGACUCGCGGGUUAUCCGCUUGUUAGGGGGGUAGUGGCUUACCAAGGCUUUGACGGGUAGCCGGCGUGAGAGGGUGACCGGCCACAAUGGGACUGAGAUAGGGCGCAGACGCCUACGGGAGGCAGCAGUGGGGAAUAUUGCACAAUGGGCGGAAGCCUGAUGCAGCAACGCCGCGUGCGGGAUGACGGCUUUCGGGUUGUAAACCGCUUUCGCCUGUGACGAAGCGGGAGUGACGGUAAUGGGUAAAGAAGCACCGGCUAACUACGUG